UGCCUGGUGGUGUAACGGUAGCACAGCGGGUUUUGGUCCCGUUAGUCUAGGUUCGAAUCCUGGCCGGGCAGCCA
This 74-nucleotide transfer RNA is filed under the name Puniceicoccales bacterium. Its description in RNAcentral is "tRNA-Gln". It matches the Rfam family "tRNA". Rfam says of the family: Transfer RNA (tRNA) molecules are approximately 80 nucleotides in length. Their secondary structure includes four short double-helical elements and three loops (D, anti-codon, and T loops). Further hydrogen bonds mediate the characteristic L-shaped molecular structure. tRNAs have two regions of fundamental functional importance: the anti-codon, which is responsible for specific mRNA codon recognition, and the 3' end, to which the tRNAs corresponding amino acid is attached (by aminoacyl-tRNA synthetases). tRNAs cope with the degeneracy of the genetic code in two manners: having more than one tRNA (with a specific anti-codon) for a particular amino acid; and 'wobble' base-pairing, i.e. permitting non-standard base-pairing at the 3rd anti-codon position. Lineage: Bacteria; Pseudomonadati; Verrucomicrobiota; Opitutia; Puniceicoccales. The record is from RNAcentral.